GCAGGGUAUAGACCCGAAACCCGGUGAUCUAGCCAUGGGCAGGUUGAAGGUUGGGUAACACUAACUGGAGGACCGAACCGACUAAUGUUGAAAAAUUAGCGGAUGACCUGUGGCUGGGGGUGAAAGGCCAAUCAAACCGGGAGAUAGCUGGUUCUCCCCGAAAGCUAUUUAGGUAGCGCCUCGUGAAUUCAUCUCCGGGGGUAGAGCACUGUUUCGGCUAGGGGGCCAUCCCGGCUUACCAACCCGAUGCAAACUGCGAAUACCGGAGAAUGUUAUCACGGGAGACACACGGCGGGUGCUAACGUCCGUCGUGAAGAGGGAAACAACCCAGACCGCCAGCUAAGGUCCCAAAGUCAUGGUUAAGUGGGAAACGAUGUGGGAAGGCCCAGACAGCCAGGAUGUUGGCUUAGAAGCAGCCAUCAUUUAAAGAAAGCGUAAUAGCUCACUGGUCGAGUCGGCCUGCGCGGAAGAUGUAACGGGGCUAAACCAUGCACCGAAGCUGCGGCAGCGACACUCAGGUGUUGUUGGGUAGGGGAGCGUUCUGUAAGCCUGCGAAGGUGGCCUGUGAGGGUUGCUGGAGGUAUCAGAAGUGCGAAUGCUGACAUAAGUAACGAUAAAGCGGGUGAAAAGCCCGCUCGCCGGAAGACCAAGGGUUCCUGUCCAACGUUAAUCGGGGCAGGGUGAGUCGACCCCUAAGGCGAGGCCGAAAGGCGUAGUCGAUGGGAAACGGGUUAAUAUUCCCGUACUUGGUGUUACUGCGAAGGGGGGACGGAGAAGGCUAUGUUGGCCGGGCGACGGUUGUCCCGGUUUAAGCGUGUAGGUGUGUGUUCCAGGUAAAUCCGGUU
This 845-nucleotide ribosomal RNA is filed under the name Salmonella enterica subsp. enterica serovar Agona. RNAcentral's name for it is "partial 23S ribosomal RNA". It matches the Rfam family "Bacterial large subunit ribosomal RNA", at positions 702 to 1547 of the family's 2925-position model. RNAcentral also lists the same sequence under 1 other name. The record is from RNAcentral. Lineage: Bacteria; Pseudomonadati; Pseudomonadota; Gammaproteobacteria; Enterobacterales; Enterobacteriaceae.